UCCACUGUCCUAGUAGCCGCGGCGCUGACGUGUCACCACCCGCGGUGUUCUACUAGUGCAGUAGCCAGGCGCGCUGUGUCCACUGUCCUAGUAGCCGUGGCGCUGACGUGUCACCACCCGCGCUGUUCUACUAGUGCAGUAGCCAGGCGCGCUGUGUCCACUGUCCUAGUAGCCGCGGCGCUGACGUGUCACCACCCGCACUGUUCUACUAGUGCAGUAGCCAGGCGCGCUGUGUCCACUGUCCUAGUAGCCGCGGCGCUGACGUGUCACCACCCGCGCUGUUCUACUAGUGCAGUAGCCAGGCGCGCUGUGUCCACUGUCCUAGUAGCCGUGGCACUGUCCUAGUAGCCGCGGCGCUGACGUGUCACCACCCGCGGUGUUCUACUAGUGCAGUAGCCAGGCGCGCUGUGUCCACUAUCCUAGUAGCCGUGGCGCUGACGUGUCACCCACCGCGCUGUUCUACUAGUGCAGUAGCCAGGUGCGCUGUGUCCACUGUCCUAGUAGCCGCGGCGCUGACAUGUCACCACCCGCGGUGUUCUACUAGUGCAGUAGCCAGGCGCGCUGUGUCCACUGUCCUAGUAGCCGCGGCCCUGACGUGUCACCACCCGCGGUGUUCUACUAGUGCAGUAGCCAGGCGCACUGUGUCCACUGUCCUAGUAGCCGCGGCGCUGACGUGUCACCACCCGCGCUAUUCUACUAGUGCAGUAGCCAGGCGCGCUGUGUCCACUAUCCUAGUAGCCGCGGCGCUGACGUGUCACCACCCGCGCUGUUCUACUAGUGCAGUAGCCAGGCGCGCUGUGUCCACUGUCCUAGUAGCCGCGGCGCUGACGUGUCACCACCCGCGGUGUUCUACUAGUGCAGUAGCCAGGCGCGCUGUGUCCACUGUCCUAGUAGCCGCGGCGCUGACGUGUCACCACCCGCGGUGUUCUACUAGUGCAGUAGCCAGGCGCGCUGUGUCCACUGUCCUAGUAGCCGCGGCGCUGACGUGUCACCACCCGCGGUGUUCUACUAGUGCAGUAGCCAGGCGCGCUGUGUCCACUGUCCUAGUAGCCGCGGCGCUGACGUGUCACCACCCGCGGUGUUCUACUAGUGCAGUAGCCAGGCGCGCUGUGUCCACUAUCCUAGUAGCCGCGGCGCUGACGUGUCACCACCCGCGGUGUUCUACUAGUGCAGUAGCCAGGCGCGCUGUGUCCACUGUCCUAGUAGCCGCGGCGCUGACGUGUCACCACCCGCGGUGUUCUACUAGUGCAGUAGCCAGGCGCGCUGUGUCCACUAUCCUAGUAGCCGCGGCGCUGACGUGUCACCACCCGCGGUGUUCUACUAGUGCAGUAGCCAGGCGCGCUGUGUCCACUGUCCUAGUAGCCGCGGUGCUGACGUGUCACCACCCGCGGUGUUCUACUAGUGCAGUAGCCAGGCGCGCUGUGUCCAAUGUCCUAGUAGCCGCGGCGCUGACGUGUCACCACCCGCGCUGUUCUACUAGUGCAGUAGCCAGGCGCGCUGUGUCCACUGUCCUAGUAGCCGCGGCGCUGACGUGUCACCACCCGCGCUGUUCUACUAGUGCAGUAGCCAGGCGCGCUGUGUCCACUGUCCUAGUAGCCGCGGCGCUGACGUGUCACCACCCGUGCUGUUCUACUAGUGCAGUAGCCAGGCGCGCUGUGUCCACUAUCCUAGUAGCCGCGGUGCUGACGUGUCACCACCCGCGGUGUUCUACUAGUGCAGUAGCCAGGCGCGCUGUGUCCACUGUCCUAGUAGCCGCGGCGCUGACGUGUCACCACCCGCGGUGUUCUACUAGUGCAGUAGCCAGGCGCGCUGUGUCCACUAUCCUAGUAGCCGCGGCGCUGACGUGUCACCACCCGCGGUGUUGUAUUAGUGCAGUAGCCAGGCGCGCUGUGUCCACUGUCGUAGUAGCCGCGGCGCUGACGUGUCACCACCCGCGCUGUUGUAUUAGUGCAGUAGCCAGGCGCGCUGUGUCCACUGUCGUAGUAGCCGCGGCACUGUCGUAGUAGCCGCGGCGCUGACGUGUCACCAGCCCGCGCUGUUCUACUAGUGCAGUAGCCAGGCGCGCUGUGUCCACUAUCCUAGCGCUGUGGCGCUGACGUGUCACCACCCGCGCUGUUCUACUAGUGCAGUAGCCAGGUGCGCUGUGUCCACUGUCCUAGUAGCCGCGGCGCUGACGUGUCACCACCCGCGCUGUUCUACUAGUGCAGUAGCCAGGCGCGCUGUGUCCACUGUCCUAGUAGCCGCGGUGCUGACGUGUCACCACCCGCGGUG
Molecule: long non-coding RNA, 2271 nt
Filed under: Volvox carteri
Lineage: Eukaryota; Viridiplantae; Chlorophyta; Chlorophyceae; Chlamydomonadales; Volvocaceae
Description: long non-coding RNA (VCAR_LNC004143)
Source: RNAcentral